ACUGCGUGUUAAGCACAAAUCUUUACAAUAAUUCCAUUGAACAAAAGAUCAAAAGGGGGUUUGUAGAUUGUUUUCAAAAUGAUAAUAACGAGAAUAAAUUACACAAGCGUAUAAAAAUCAGUUAAACGAUAUGAGAAAGCAUGUUAGGGCAAGAUGUAUGAAUUGCUUUAUACUACACUACUUCCACAUUAUACGAUAUCAACGUUGUAAUUAUUCAAAGUCAAUUCUCAAGAAUUGUUUUCUCUAAUUCCUUAGCUGAAAACCAUUAACAGUCAAUUUCAAU
Molecule: long non-coding RNA, 283 nt
Filed under: Lathyrus oleraceus (garden pea)
Lineage: Eukaryota; Viridiplantae; Streptophyta; Magnoliopsida; Fabales; Fabaceae
Description: Pisum sativum (pea) long non-coding RNA (PSAT_LNC001628)
Source: RNAcentral